Molecule: ribosomal RNA, 429 nt
Filed under: Chloroflexota bacterium
Lineage: Bacteria; Bacillati; Chloroflexota
Description: Chloroflexi bacterium partial 16S ribosomal RNA
Rfam family: Bacterial small subunit ribosomal RNA
Source: RNAcentral
UGGGGAAUAUUGCACAAUGGGCGCAAGCCUGAUGCAGCCAUGCCGCGUGUAUGAAGAAGGCCUUCGGGUUGUAAAGUACUUUCAGCGGGGAGGAAGGGAGUAAAGUUAAUACCUUUGCUCAUUGACGUUACCCGCAGAAGAAGCACCGGCUAACUCCGUGCCAGCAGCCGCGGUAAUACGGAGGGUGCAAGCGUUAAUCGGAAUUACUGGGCGUAAAGCGCACGCAGGCGGUUUGUUAAGUCAGAUGUGAAAUCCCCGGGCUCAAACUGGGAACUGCAUCUGAUACUGGCAAGCUUGAGUCUCGUAGAGGGGGGUAGAAUUCCAGGUGUAGCGGUGAAAUGCGUAGAGAUCUGGAGGAAUACCGGUGGCGAAGGCGGCCCCCUGGACGAAGACUGACGCUCAGGUGCGAAAGAGUGGGGAGCAAACAGG